GCAAGUCGAACGGUAACAGGCCCUUCGGGGCGCUGACGAGUGGCGGACGGGUGAGUAAUGCAUAGGAAUCUACCUUUAAGUGGGGGACAACCUGGGGAAACUCAGGCUAAUACCGCAUAAUUCCUAAGGGAGAAAGCAGGGGACCUUCGGGCCUUGCGCUUUUAGAUGAGCCUAUGUCGGAUUAGCUUGUUGGUGGGGUAAAGGCCUACCAAGGCGACGAUCCGUAACUGGUCUGAGAGGAUGAUC
Molecule: ribosomal RNA, 246 nt
Filed under: uncultured bacterium
Lineage: Bacteria
Description: partial 16S ribosomal RNA
Rfam family: Bacterial small subunit ribosomal RNA
Source: RNAcentral